GAUGAAGAACGUAGCGAAAUGCGAUAAGUAGUGUGAAUUGCAGAAGUACCGUGAAUCAUCGAAUCUUUGAACGCAAAUUGCACUCUCUGGUAUUCCGGGGAGUAUGCCUGUUUGAGGGUCGCUUAACAAACCAUCGAUUUCGUUGCUUUUUUUUUAAAAAGUGAUGUUUAUCGGAUUUGAGCCGUCUUUUUUUUUUUAUAUUUAAGUGGCUUAAAAUUGAUUUUUUUGGUACGAUCGAAGCGUAUUUUUAUGAUCAAUUUUUGGUUAAAGAAACGCACACGUACCGUUAUUUAUAUGAUGUAAUACGUUUGACUAUUGGAUUUAGUUCAUUCGUAUACGAUAUUUUUCAAUAUUUGACCUCAAAUCAGGUAAGAACACCCGCUGAACUUAAGCAUAUCAAUAAGCGGAGGA
Molecule: unclassified non-coding RNA, 411 nt
Filed under: soil metagenome
Description: partial contains 5.8S ribosomal RNA, internal transcribed spacer 2, and large subunit ribosomal RNA
Rfam family: 5.8S ribosomal RNA (bases 1-121)
Source: RNAcentral